AUCCAGCUGACGAGUCCCAAAUAUGACGAAAUGCGCAUCCUGAAU
Molecule: non-coding RNA, 45 nt
Filed under: Trichobilharzia regenti
Lineage: Eukaryota; Metazoa; Platyhelminthes; Trematoda; Strigeidida; Schistosomatidae
Source: RNAcentral